Molecule: non-coding RNA, 65 nt
Organism: Dipodomys ordii (Ord's kangaroo rat)
Lineage: Eukaryota; Metazoa; Chordata; Mammalia; Rodentia; Heteromyidae
Source: Rfam
GGUGGCUCAGAGGUAGAGUGCUUGCCUUGCAUGCAUGAGGCCCUGGGUUCAAUUCCUCAGCACCA